GAUGAACGCUAGCGGGAGGCCUAACACAUGCAAGCCGAGCGGUAGAGUUUCUUCGGAAACUUGAGAGCGGCGCACGGGUGCGUAACACGUGUGCAACCUACCUUUAUCUGGGGGAUAGCCUUUCGAAAGGAAGAUUAAUACCCCAUAAUAUAAUGAUUGGCAUCAAUUAUUAUUGAAAACUCCGGUGGAUAGAGAUGGGCACGCGCAAGAUUAGAUAGUUGGUGAGGUAACGGCUCACCAAGUCAAUGAUCUUUAGGGGUCCUGAGAGGGAGAUCCCCCACACUGGUGCUGAGACACGGACCAGACUCCUACGGGAGGCAGCAGUGAGGAAUAUUGGACAAUGGGUGAGAGCCUGAUCCAGCCAUCCCGCGUGAAGGAUGACGGUCCUAUGGAUUGUAAACUUCUUUUGUACAGGGAUAAACCUACCCUCGUGAGGGUAGCUGAAGGUACUGUACGAAUAAGCACCGGCUAACUCCGUG
This 479-nucleotide ribosomal RNA is filed under the name uncultured bacterium. RNAcentral describes it as "partial 16S ribosomal RNA". It matches the Rfam family "Bacterial small subunit ribosomal RNA", at positions 28 to 507 of the family's 1533-position model. The record is from RNAcentral.